Molecule: long non-coding RNA, 620 nt
Organism: Populus euphratica (Euphrates poplar)
Lineage: Eukaryota; Viridiplantae; Streptophyta; Magnoliopsida; Malpighiales; Salicaceae
Exons: 2
Source: RefSeq, a predicted model, not a curated record
AUAUCACCAGAAGACUCUAGCUUGAAAAACCAUCUUCACCGACGAAGAUGCGCCAAGAAGUUUUCAUUUUCCAUGGGGAUUUAAGCCCAUAUAACGCCUCAUUGGUGAAUUUAAGUCUGAGGUUCAAUCAAAGUAAGACACAGGGACUGACCAUUUGACAUCGUUUCUCCAACUCUUUGCUUUGAACUGCUUGCAAAACUCACGGACACAACAGCUUAGCCUUCACGUGAGCUGAACUCAGAACUUGCAGACUAGAAAAUAGUAAAUCUUCCUUUCCUCUCUGAUUUCUGGAACUAUGAAUAAUAUAAUUCCCAAAAGGGAUUAUUGAACAGAGGAAAAUUACAAUAAUGCAUCUAUUUUUAUCUUUAUUCCUUUUCUGUUCAAUUUAUUGGGCUGCUCAAAACCCAUAACCCCGUUAUUUUAAAAAAAAUGUUGAAACUUUGAGGUGAUGAGAUCCAACGUGAACUCCCUCAGCUCCUCUUCCACCUAAACUUCAGUGAAUCAGCAUCGAAAUGCAAAACCCAGUUCAAUAAGCAACCGCCCCAUUUGCUUGCUUUGCCUCAAGAAUCAAACCAAGCAGUACUAGUGCAACCAGAGAAGUGUGUUACAAGUGAAAGAAA